This 403-nucleotide ribosomal RNA is filed under the name uncultured microorganism. RNAcentral's name for it is "bacterial SSU rRNA". It matches the Rfam family "Bacterial small subunit ribosomal RNA", at positions 9 to 407 of the family's 1533-position model. The record is from RNAcentral.
GAGUUUGAUCGUGGCUCAGAUUGAACGCUGGCGGCAUGCCUUACACAUGCAAGUCGAACGGCAGCAUGAUCUAGCUUGCUAGAUUGAUGGCGAGUGGCGAACGGGUGAGUAAUACAUCGGAACGUGCCCUGUAGUGGGGGAUAACUAGUCGAAAGAUUAGCUAAUACCGCAUACGACCUGAGGGUGAAAGUGGGGGGACCACAAGGCCUCAUGCUAUAGGAGCGGCCGAUGUCUGAUUAGCUAGUUGGUGGGGUAAAGGCCCACCAAGGCGACGAUCAGUAGCUGGUCUGAAAGGACGAUCAGCCACACUGGGACUGAGACACGGCCCAGACUCCUACGGGAGGCAGCAGUGGGGAAUUUUGGACAAUGGGCGAAAGCCUGAUCCAGCAAUGCCGCGUGUGUG